This 497-nucleotide ribosomal RNA is filed under the name uncultured bacterium. RNAcentral's name for it is "partial 16S ribosomal RNA". It matches the Rfam family "Bacterial small subunit ribosomal RNA", at positions 28 to 507 of the family's 1533-position model. The record is from RNAcentral.
GAUGAACGCUGGCGGCGUGCCUAAUACAUGCAAGUCGAGCGAACGGACGAGAAGCUUGCUUCUCUGAUGUUAGCGGCGGACGGGUGAGUAACACGUGGAUAACCUACCUAUAAGACUGGGAUAACUUCGGGAAACCGUAGCUAAUACCGGAUAAUAUUUUGAACCGCAUGGUUCAAAAGUGAAAGACGGUCUUGCUUUCACUUAUAGAUGGAUCCGCGCUGCAUUAGCUAGUUGGUAAGGUAACGGCUUACCAAGGCAACGAUGCAUAGCCGACCUGAGAGGGUGAUCGGCCACACUGGAACUGAGACACGGUCCAGACUCCUACGGGAGGCAGCAGUAGGGAAUCUUCCGCAAUGGGCGAAAGCCUGACGGAGCAACGCCGCGUGAGCGAUGAAGGUCUUCGGAUCGUAAAACUCUGUUAUUAGGGAAGAACAUAUGUGUAAGUAACUGUGCACAUCUUGACGGUACCUAAUCAGAAAGCCACGGCUAACUACGUG